AAUCAAUUGAAAUACUUAGUGGCGGACGGGUGAGUAACGCGUGAGUAACCUGCCCUUUAGUGGGGAAUAACACCGAGAAAUCGGUGCUAAUACCGCAUAAUGUCAGAGGACCGCAUGAUCUUCUGACCAAAGGAUUUAUUCACUAAAGGAUGGACUCGCGUCCGAUUAGCUAGUUGGUGAGGUAACGGCCCACCAAGGCAACGAUCGGUAGCCGAACUGAGAGGUUGAUCGGCCACAUUGGGACUGAGACACGGCCCAGACUCCUACGGGAGGCAGCAGUGGGGAAUAUUGGGCAAUGGGCGCAAGCCUGACCCAGCAACGCCGCGUGAAGGAUGAAGGUCCUCGGAUUGUAAACUUCUUUGAUCAGGGACGAAUUUUGACGGUACCUGAAGAACAAGUCACGGCUAACUACGUGCCAGCAGCCGCGGUAAUACGUAGGUGACAAGCGUUAUCCGGAUUUACUGGGUGUAAAGGGCGUGUAGGCGGUUUGGCAAGUCAGAAGUGAAAUUCCCGGGCUUAACUUGGGCGCUGCUUCUGAAACUGCUUAACUUGAGUGCUGGAGAGGAUAGUGGAAUUCCUAGUGUAGCGGUAAAAUGCGCAGAUAUUAGGAGGAACACCGGUGGCGAA
RNAcentral lists this ribosomal RNA (627 nucleotides) under uncultured rumen bacterium. Its description in RNAcentral is "bacterial SSU rRNA". It matches the Rfam family "Bacterial small subunit ribosomal RNA", at positions 77 to 719 of the family's 1533-position model. The record is from RNAcentral.